RNAcentral lists this ribosomal RNA (752 nucleotides) under uncultured archaeon. RNAcentral's name for it is "bacterial SSU rRNA". It matches the Rfam family "Archaeal small subunit ribosomal RNA", at positions 102 to 859 of the family's 1478-position model. The record is from RNAcentral.
GGACAACCUACCCUGAGGAGGGGGAUAACCCCGGAAAACUGGGGAUAAUACCCCAUAGACUAGGGACGCUGGAAUGCCCCUUAGUCCAAAGGUCCGCCGCCUCAGGAUGGGUCUGCGGCCGAUUAGGUAGUUGUUGGGGUAACGGCCCAACAAGCCUUUGAUCGGUACGGGUUGUGGGAGCAAGAGCCCGGAGAUGGAUUCUGAGACACGAAUCCAGGCCCUACGGGGCGCAGCAGGCGCGAAAACUUUACAAUGCGAGAAAUCGUGAUAAGGGAACCCCGAGUGCCCGUAAAUUCGGGCUGUCCAUCAGUGUAAAAAACUGGUGAAGAAAGGGCCGGGCAAGACCGGUGCCAGCCGCCGCGGUAAUACCGGCGGCUCGAGUGGUGGCCACUAUUACUGGGCUUAAAGCGUCCGUAGCUUGGUUGUUAAGUCUCCUGGGAAAUCCAUCGGCUCAACCGAUGGGCGUUCAGGGGAUACUGGCAAUCUAGGGACCGGGAGAGGUGAGAGGUACUCCAGGGGUAGGAGUGAAAUCCUGUAAUCCUUGGGGGACCACCUGUGGCGAAGGCGUCUCACUAGAACGGCUCCGACAGUGAGGGACGAAAGCUGGGGGAGCAAACCGGAUUAGAUACCCGGGUAGUCCCAGCCGUAAACGAUGCGCGUUAGGUGUAUCGGUGACCACGAGUCACCGAGGUGCCGAAGGGAAACCGUGAAACGUGCCGCCUGGGAAGUACGGUCGCAAGGCUGAAACUUAA